RNAcentral lists this long non-coding RNA (365 nucleotides) under Solanum tuberosum (potato). Its description in RNAcentral is "long non-coding RNA (STUB_LNC000157)". The record is from RNAcentral. Lineage: Eukaryota; Viridiplantae; Streptophyta; Magnoliopsida; Solanales; Solanaceae.
CGGUGGAUAGAAAGUAAUUUCAGGUUUCUUCUUCUUCAACUUAAUAUAGGCGUUUACGCCCACAUCAUAAGAUACUUUUAAUGACAAGAAUCCAUGUGCAAUUGCAUAUUUGAUCUCCAUGUUUUCAAAAACAACAUUUUUGAGUUGAUUUGAGAUAUGUAUGAUUAAAUUUUCAUAAUUGAAAGUAGAUUCUAUUAUUAUUACAUCAACGUUAGAACUGAUGUAUUGUUGCUCUGAAUUAUUGAAGGAAGGAAACUCGCGGCCUGUAAGUUAUAGUUGGGUGAAAUAUAGGUUAGGGGAUAUUAAUUGUAAUUAGUUGGGAAAAAUAUCGAUUAUCGGUUAUUAAUUGGAAUUAGUAUGGGGUA